RNAcentral lists this ribosomal RNA (482 nucleotides) under uncultured bacterium. RNAcentral describes it as "partial 16S ribosomal RNA". It matches the Rfam family "Bacterial small subunit ribosomal RNA", at positions 30 to 507 of the family's 1533-position model. The record is from RNAcentral.
AUUGAACGCUGGCGGCAUGAUUUACACAUGCAAGUCGAACGGUAACAGGCCGCAAGGUGCUGACGAGUGGCGAACGGGUGAGUAAUGCAUCGGAACGUGCCCAGUCGUGGGGGAUAACUACUCGAAAGAGUAGCUAAUACCGCAUACGAUCUAUGGAUGAAAGCGGGGGACCGUAAGGCCUCGCGCGAUUGGAGCGGCCGAUGUCAGAUUAGGUAGUUGGUGGGGUAAAGGCUCACCAAGCCAACGAUCUGUAGCUGGUCUGAGAGGACGACCAGCCACACUGGGACUGAGACACGGCCCAGACUCCUACGGGAGGCAGCAGUGGGGAAUUUUGGACAAUGGGCGCAAGCCUGAUCCAGCAAUGCCGCGUGCAGGAAGAAGGCCCUCGGGUUGUAAACUGCUUUUGUACGGAACGAAACGGCUCUGGUUAAUACCCGGGGCUAAUGACGGUACCGUAAGAAUAAGCACCGGCUAACUACGUG